UCCUUUAUUCUAUUCUAUUUUCUUCAUAUUAAUCUCUAAUAGCAUCUUAUAGUCAUUCUAUUAUUUUCUUCAUCUCUCUUUUAUUCUUUUUAUUAUUGCCUACCAAGUGUCUAGUUCUUCAUCUCCACACUACACACUCUAAUUAUGUAGUUAAAUGUAAUUAAUGCUUUGCUAGUUUGCUAUCCCUUUGAAUUGAUUUUUAAUGGCAUCUAUAUUAUUUGGAUUAGUCUUCCUGUUAUCUUCCAUAUUAUCACUUUUGUUCCUAUUAUUUUUAUGAUUCUUUUUUCCAGCCUAAGAGAUAGAUUGACCGAGUGAAAUUUAUAGACCCAGGGCUAAUUAAUUGUAUUUGGGAUUUGUCUUUCUGUUAUCUUUUUUAUCUCCUUUGUUCCUAUUAUUACCAUGAUUCUUUUUUUGCCUAAGACUUAGAUUGAUAGAGUGAAACUUAUAUACCUAAGGCAAAUUAAUUUUGUUUUUUUCUCUGAGAUAUUCAAUCUUCUUUUUUACUUUUAAGCUUUAUUUUGUAAUGUAACAUAAACAUAUUUUGUUUUGUAUACUAUUCUUGUAUAUAUAACUCAUCAUGCAUGAUAGUUGAUGAUUUUGAUUUGAGCCCCCCUCCCCUCCCCCUCUAUGCUCAAAUCCUAGCUUAGUAGGGCCUAUGUAUAUGC
Molecule: long non-coding RNA, 665 nt
Filed under: Sorghum bicolor (sorghum)
Lineage: Eukaryota; Viridiplantae; Streptophyta; Magnoliopsida; Poales; Poaceae
Description: long non-coding RNA (SBIC_LNC015046)
Source: RNAcentral